CUACGGGAGGCAGCAGUGGGGAAUAUUGGACAAUGAGCGAAAGCCUGAUCCAGCCAUGCCGCGUGUGUGAAGAAGGCCUUCGGGUUGUAAAGCACUUUCAGUGGGGAAGAAAGCCUUGGGGCUAAUACCCUCGAGGAAGGACAUCACCCACAGAAGAAGCACCGGCUAACUCCGUGCCAGCAGCCGCGGUAAUACGGAGGGUGCGAGCGUUAAUCGGAAUUACUGGGCGUAAAGCGCGCGUAGGCGGUCUGAUAAGCCGGUUGUGAAAGCCCCGGGCUCAACCUGGGAACGGCAUCCGGAACUGUCAGGCUAGAGUGCAGGAGAGGAAGGUAGAAUUCCCGGUGUAGCGGUGAAAUGCGUAGAGAUCGGGAGGAAUACCAGUGGCGAAGGCGGCCUUCUGGACUGACACUGACGCUGAGGUGCGAAAGCGUGGGUAGCAAACAGGAUUAGAUACCCCAGUAGUC
This 464-nucleotide ribosomal RNA is filed under the name Vreelandella stevensii. RNAcentral's name for it is "partial 16S ribosomal RNA". It matches the Rfam family "Bacterial small subunit ribosomal RNA", at positions 339 to 795 of the family's 1533-position model. Lineage: Bacteria; Pseudomonadati; Pseudomonadota; Gammaproteobacteria; Oceanospirillales; Halomonadaceae. The record is from RNAcentral.